GACUGUGCAAAGGUAGCAUAAUAAUUUGCCUUUUAAUUGGAGGAUGGAAUGAAUGGUUAGACGAGGAUAAAACUGUCUCAUAUAUAUUUAUUGGAAGUUGAUCUUUAGGUUAAAAAGCCUAAAUUGCAUUAAAGGACGAGAAGACCCUAUUAAGCUUAAAAAAUACUAUAACUAUUACUAUAUUAUUAGAUGUAACGUUAAUAGUAAUAUUUUAGUUGGGGCGACUUGGGAGUAAGAAAAACCUCCUUUGGGUUGAAAUAGAGCUUAAUUUAUGGUCCAAAAGAUUUUGAGGUAAGAACAAGUUACUAUAGGGAUAACAGCGUAAUUUUAUUUGAGAGUUCUAAUCGAAAAUAGAGUUUGCGACCUCGAUGUUGGAUUAAGAAGUAAUGAAGGUUGCAGAA
This 401-nucleotide ribosomal RNA is filed under the name Plectostoma concinnum. RNAcentral describes it as "partial 16S ribosomal RNA". It matches the Rfam family "Bacterial large subunit ribosomal RNA", at positions 1944 to 2560 of the family's 2925-position model. Lineage: Eukaryota; Metazoa; Mollusca; Gastropoda; Architaenioglossa; Diplommatinidae. The record is from RNAcentral.